Picea glauca (white spruce) is the source of this 121-nucleotide non-coding RNA. The record is from Rfam. Lineage: Eukaryota; Viridiplantae; Streptophyta; Pinopsida; Pinales; Pinaceae.
ACAUGCCUACAACAUAGCAUUAAUGCACCAAUUCCCAUGAGAACUUCACAGUUAAGCAUGCUCAGGAUAGAUUAGUACUAGGAUGGGUGACUUCCCUAGAAGUCCUAUUGUUUUACAUGCC